Molecule: long non-coding RNA, 26351 nt
Organism: Callithrix jacchus (white-tufted-ear marmoset)
Lineage: Eukaryota; Metazoa; Chordata; Mammalia; Primates; Cebidae
Source: RefSeq, a predicted model, not a curated record
UGUGUGAUGUUCCCUUCCCUGUGUCCAUGUGUUCUUAUUGUUCAACUCUCACUUACGAGUGAGAACAUGGAGUGUUUGGUUUUCUGUUCUUAUGUUAUUUUGCUGAGAAUGAUGGUUUCCAGCUUCAUCCAUAUCCCUGCAAAGGACAUGAACUCAUCCUUUUUGUGGCUACAUAGUAUUCCAUGGUGCAUACGUGCCACAUUUUCAUUAUGCAGUGUAUCACUGAUGGCAUUUGGGUUGGUUCCAGGUCUUUGCUAUUGUGAAUAGUGCUGCAGUAAACAUUCGUGUGCAUGUGUCUUUACAGUAGAAUGAUUUAUAAUCCUUUGGGUAUAUACCCAGUAGUGGGAUGGCUGGGUCAAAUGGAAUUGUUGGUUUUAUCACCACACUGUCUUCCACAGUGGUUGAACUAAUUUGCACUCCCAUCCACAGUGUAAAAGUGUUCCUAUUUCUCCAUAACCUCUCCAGCAUCUGUUGUUUUCUGACUUUUUAAUUAUCACCAUUCUAACUGGCGUGAAAUGGUAUCUCAUCAUGGCUUUGAUGUACAUUUCUCUAGUGACCAGUAAUGAUGAGCUUUUUAAAAAUAUAUAUUUGUUGGCCACAUAAAUGUCUGCUUUUGAAAAGUGUCUGUUCAUAUCCUUUGCCCAGUUUUUGGUGGGGUUGUUUGUUUUUUUUUCUUGUAAAUUUGUUUAAGUUCCUUGUAGAUUCUGGAUAUUAGCUCUUUGUCACAUGGAUAGAUUGCAAAAAUUUUCUGCAAUUCUAUAGGUUACCUGUUCACUUUGAUGAUAGUUGCUUUUGCUGUGCAGAAGCUCUUUUGUUUAAUUAGAUCCCAUUUGUCAAUUAUGGCUUUUGUUGCCAUUGCUUUGGUGUUUUAGUCAUGGAAUCUUUACCCAUGCCUAUGUCCUGAAUGGUACUGUUUAGGUUUUCUUCUAGGGUUUUUAUGGUUUUAGGUCUUAUGUUUAAGUCUUUAAUCUAUCUUGAGUUAAUUUUUGUAUAUGGCGUAAGAAAGGGGUCCAGUUUCUUUUCUGCAUAUGGCUAACCAGUUUUUCCAACAUCAUUUAUUAAGUAGGGAAUCCUUACCCCAUUGCUUGUUUUUGUCAGGCUUGUCAAAGAUUAGAUGAUUGUAGAUGUGUGAUGUUAUUUCUGAGGCCUCUGUUCUGUUCCAUUGGUCUAUAUAUCUGUUUUGGUACUGGUACCAUGCUGUUUUGGUUACUGUAGCCUUGUAGUAUAGUUUGAAGUCAGGUAGCAUGAUACUUCCAGCUUUGUUCUUUUUGCUUAGGAUUGUCUUGGCUAUACAGGCUCUUUUCUGGUUCCAUAUGAAAUGUAAAAUAGUUUUUUUCUAAUUCUGCAAAGAAAGUCAAUAGUAGCUUGAUGGGGAUAGCAUUGAAUCUAUAAAUUACUUUGGGCAGUGUGGCCAUUUUCAUGAUAUUGAUUCUUCCUAUCCAUGAGUGUGGAAUGUUUUUCCAUCUGUUUGUGUCUUCUCUUAUUUCCUUGAGAAGUGGUUUAUAGUUCUCCUUGAAGAGGUCCUUCACAUUUCUUGUUAGUUAUACUCCUAUGUAUUUAAUUCUCUUUGUAGCAGUUGUGAAUGGGAGUUCACUCAUGAUUUGGCUCUCUAUUGUUGGUGUAUAGGAAUGCUUGUGAUUUUUGCACAUUGGUUUUAUAUCCUCAGACUUUGCUGAAGUUGCUUAUCAGCUUAAGGAGAUUUGGGGCUGAGACAAUGGGGUUUUCAAAAUAUACAAUCAUGUCAUCUGCAAACAGAGACAAUUUGACUCUUUGUCUUUGUCUUUUUUAAUCUUUGUUGGUUUAAAGUCUGUUUUACCAGAGACUAGGAUUGCAACCCUGCUUUUUUUUCUUUUGCUUUGAGCCUAUGUGUGUCUUUGCACAUGAGAUUGGUCUCCUGAAUACAGCACACUGAUGGGUCUUGACUGUUUAUCCAAUUUGCCAGUCUGUUCAUUUUGAUUGGGGCAUAUUUAAGGUUAAUAUAUGUGAAUUGGAUCCUGUCAUUAUGAUGCUAACUGGUUAUUUUGCCCAUUAGUUGAUGUGUUUUCUUCAUAGUGUCAAUGGCCUUUACAAUUUGGUAUGUUUUUGCAGUGGCUGGUACUGGUUGUUCCUUUCCAUAUUUAGUGCUUCCUUCAGGAUCUCUUGUAAGGCAGGCCUGAUGGUGACAGAAUCUCUCAGCAUUUGCUUGUCUGUAAAGUGUUUAUUUCUCCUUCUCUUCUGAAACUUAGUUUGGCUGGAUAUGAAAUUCUUGAUUGAAAAUUUUUUUCUUUAAAAAUGUUUAAUAUUGGCCUCCACUCUCUUCUGGCUUGUAGGGUUUCUGCAGAGAGAUCUGCUGUGAGUCUGAUAGGCUUCCCCUUGUGGGUAACCCAACCUUUGUCUCUGGCUGCUCUUAACAUUUUUUCCUUCAUUUCAACCUUGGUGAAUCUGAUGAUUAUGUGGUCUUGGGGUGGCUCUUCUCGAGGAGUGUAUUUGUGGUGUUCUCUGUAUUUCCUGAACUUGAAUGGUGGCCUGCCUUUCUAGGUUGGGGAAGUUCUCCUGGAUAAUAUCUUGAAGAGUGUUUUCCAACUUGGUUGCAUUCUGCCUGUCACUUUCAGGUAUACCAAUCAAACGUAGGUUUGGUCUUUUCAUAUAGUCCCAUAUUUCUUGGAGGCUUUCUUUAUUUCUUUUCACUCUUUGUUCUCUAAUCUUGUCUUCAUGCUUAAUGUCAUUAAGUUGAUUUUCAAUCCCUGAUAUCCUUUCUUCUACUUGAUUGAUUUGGCUAUUGAUACUUGUGUAUGCUUCACAAAGUUGUUGAGUUGUGUUUUUCAGCUCCAUCAGGUCAUUAAUGUUCUUUUCUAAACUGGUUAUUCUAGUUAGCAAUUCCUCUAACCUUUUUUGAAUGUUCUUAGCUUCCUUGCAUUGGGUUAGAACCUGCUCCUUUAGCUUGGAGAAGUUUUUUAUUAUCCACCUUCUGAAGCCUAUUUCUGUCAAUUGGUCAAACUGAUUCUCUGUACAGUUUUGUUCCCUUGCUGGUGAAGAGUUGUUACCCUUUGGAGGAGAAGAGGUGUUCUGGUUUUUGGAAUUUUCAGUCUUUUUUUUUUUGCUGUUUAUUGCUCAUCUAAAUGGAUUUAUCUAUCUUUGGUCUUUGAUGUUGGUGAUCUUCGGAUGGGGUUUUAUGUGGACAGCCUUUUCACUGAUGUUGAUGCUAAUCCUUUCUGUUUGUUAGUUUUCCUUCUAUCAGUCAGGCCUCCCUGCUGCAGGUUUGCUGGAGUUUGCUGGAAGUCCACUCCAGAUCCUGUUUGUCUGGGUAUCGCCAGUGAAGGCUGUGGAAUCGAAUAGAUUGAUGCCUGUUCCUUCCUCCAGAAGCUUCGUCCCAGAGGAGCACCCAGCAGAUGCCAGUUGGAGCUCUCCUGUAUGAAGUGUCUGUGAACCCCUGCUGGGAGGUGUUUCCCAGUCAGGAGGCACAGGGGUCAGGGACUCCCUUGAGGUGGCAUUCUGUCCCUUAGCAGAGCUGGAGUACUGUGCUGGGAGAUCUUGGCUCUCUUGAGAGCUGGCAGGCAGGAACAUUUAAUUCUGCUCAAGCUACACCCACUGUGGCCUCUUCCUGCAGGUGCUCUGUCCCAGGGAGAUGGGAGUUUUAUCUGUAAGCCCCUGACUGGGGCUUUCUUUCAGAGAUACCCUGCCCAGAGAGGAGGAAUUCAGAGAGGCAGUGUGGCUACAUACAGUGGCUUUGCUGAGCUGCGCUGGGCUCUGCCCAGUUCAGACUUCCUGGCAUGUUUGUUUACAACGUGAGGGGAACACCGCCUACUCAAGCCUCAGUAAUGGUGGAUGCCUCUCCCCCCACCAAGCUCAGGUGUCCCAGGUUGACUUCAGACUGCUGUGCUGGCAGUAAGAAUUUCUAGCCAGUGGAUCUUAGCUUGUUGGGUUCCAUGGGGGUGGGAUCCACUGAGCUAGACUACUUGGCUCCCUGGCUUCUGCCCUUUUUCCAGGGCAGUGAAUAGUUCCAUCUCACUGGCAUUCCAGGUGCCACUGGGGUAUGAAUAAGCCUCCUGCAGCUAGCCAUUGUCUGCCCACAUGGCCGCCCAGUUUUGUGCUUGAAACCCAGGACACUGAUGGUGUAGGCACCCAAGGGAAUCUCCUGGUCUCCAGGUUGGGAAGACCAUGGGAAAAACAUAGUGUCUGGGCCACAAUGCACCAUUCGUCACAGCACAGUCCCUCACAGCUUCCCUUGGCUAGGGGAGGGAGUUCCCCAACCCCUUGCACUUUCUGGGUAAGGCGAUGCCCCACCCUGCUUCGGCUCACCCUCCACGGGCUGCACCUACCGUCUAACCAGUCCCAAUGAGAUAAGCCAGGUACCUGAGUUGGUAAUGCAGAAAUCGCCCACCUUCUGCAUUGAUGUCUGGGAGCUGCAGACUGGAGCUGUUCCUGUUUGGCCAUAUUGCCCAGGUCCCCUGGAAUAUUUUAAAUAUAUACGUGAUUGAUUCCUGUGAUUCAUUCUUCUUCCUCUUAGUAGUUCUGACUUAGAAGGUUUAAACACAAGGAUAUUCACUAGUUACAGAUGAGAUUAGAAACGUUACUAAUGGGAAGAUAGGUAGGAGAAUGCAGCUCAGAGCUGGGGCUUUGGAGAGCUUGCUGCUCCUUGACCCUCCAUGGGUGGAUUUCGGCCUUGCUUGUCUGGGGCACACUGUGAAAUGCAGGCUGGCAAGAGCGUGGGCCUGGCCAGGCCUGCAGACCCUGUCCAUGUGCGUCCAGCUGAGGAGGCUGGAUUCUGUGUUGGCAUUUACUGGUCAUUUUUGUUUAUCAUCUCUCCCCUCUCCUUCCCAAGGGGAGGAGACAGUUCUGGCGAGACAGGAGCCAGAAGGUUUGAUCUCAGUACUGCUGCCCUCUGGGAAGUCAAGAGAGGUCCGUUUUCUCUCACAGAGAGAGAUGGGUGCCAGUAUCCCACCAAAUUCUUUAGGGCAGGCCACAUGGGUGCCACUAGCCUCCUUGGAGGUCACGCCUGCCUCUUCUGGCUUUGUGCUGGUCACUCUUCCCAUCUCACCACUUGGGGCUGGCUCAGGCUGAGGAGCUUCUCUUCCAAGGUGGAGAAUGUGAGGGUCAGAGACAGAAGGUUCGUGACUGUGGACUCUACCCUCUGACCCACUCUGGGGAAGCUGGUGGGGACUUGCAUCUGAGUGCUUGAGGAAGAGAUGGGAUGUGCAGGGAAGAGGCUGGGAGGAGGAGGAAGUCAUUUGUGUCCAGCAUCUUCCAUGCCAGUACUGAGCUAAACUUGCAUGGGCACAUUGAAAAGGAGGGUGCAGCCCCAGGCGUGGCUGGAGAGAGCUCUGUGUCUUCACUUUCCACAGCCUGUGUUUCAACAGAGCACAGAGGGAAACGGAACUCAUUUUCCCUUUUUUAAUAUAACAUUCCAUCUCCAUAAUUAAAGGGAUACAAAAUACACUGUGGGAAUUUUAGGAAAUUCUGAAACAUGAACUAGAGGAAAACCCCAAAGAUUAGUCUGUAACCCACCUCUCCAGAGAUGUCAUUAGCAUUUUUCUUUAUUUCCUUCCAGUCUGUUUUCUAGUUGUGUUUUUAUGUAGAAGGAGUAGUGUACAUUUAUGUCAACUUAGGGCCACACUGUGUAAGCAGUUUUAUAUUUUGCAGGUAACUUUUAGUAUCAUAGGCCCUUUUCUAUGCCUUUAGAUAUUUCCCAACAGCCCAUUCUUUAAUGGCAGGCUAACAUUUCAUUCUUGUUUCCAAAUUUGCAGCAUGGUAAUUAUGACUUAAUUACUCUCCCUGUGUGUGCAUACUGUCAGUCUUUGACUUUUCUUUAGGAUAAAUUCCUGGAGAUGAAGUUAUGGGGUCAACUGGUAGAACACUUUUGAGCUUUUUUCCCACCAAGUGUAUAUUGCUGCUCUAUGUCAAAGAACUCGAGAUAUAGUCGCCACUUUAAGAAUGUCCAUUUCUCUGCACUUUGGUGGCACAGUGUAUUAUGUCUUAUGAUGAUGAUUUUUAGAGAUGGAGUCUCAUUGUAUAGCUCAGGCUGGACUCAAAGUCCUGGGCCCAAGCGAUCCUCCUGUAUUAGCCUCCCAAGUAGCUGGGACUACAGCCGUGUGCCACUUGUAUUAUUAUUUUUAAGUCCCUUCUCUUAUGUUUGAUGCAAUUUAAAUUCUGUUGUUAAGGAAGCUAAGUUGGUGAGACGAGACAGUUGUUCCUCAAGACACAGCCAGCUGCGGGGGCCCGUGUGCCCACCAAGUUCCCCCUGGUGUUCCUUUGAGGUGCCUGUCCCCCUCCUGGGAACAUGGCCAGGUCCCUUUCUGCCCUCAGCCACGGUGUGGGCUCCUGUCUGCACCCCCACCUUCCCGUGGCUGCUCACCACACUUUCUGCCCCCAAGUCCCUGCUGAAAGGCCCAGGGACAUCUCCAGUCGCAGAGCCUGCUCCUAGCUCAGAGGUUGUUUGCUCAUCAGGUCUGCAGCACUGGGCUUCUCUUCUGCAUGAGCAUGCUGGUCUGGGAGAUUUUAUUGAAAUUGGAGUUUGGAGGUGUAGGAGAGUGCGGCUGAGCUGUGGCCGUUCCCACAGAUGCCCCAUCAGUGUCCUUCUGAGGCACCUUCACCCCAGCCUGCAAAUCAGGGCCAUAGGAGAGUUGGAGAGGCUCAGCCACUCGGCACAGGAGUCCUGGCACCAUGCCAGAAGUGAUGGCAUCUGGGGGCAGAGGACCCACGGCGCUUUGCACUACAUUCGCUUCGCACGUCCUCCGCCAGGAGGAGAGCUUUUCCUUUUUCAUUGUAAAUGAGAAAUUCUUUCCAAAAUAAGAUAGAGCAUCACCAACUUCAGGAAGCCAAAGCAACCCAACUGAAUUGUAUAAAUAUAUGUCUACACAUAAGGUGGAAAAUAGAUGCAGAAUACAGUGACACACAGUGACACAGUUGAUGGGACCCAGCAAAGCCUGUGGUGGAAAACUCUCCCCCUCAUCCACUGAUGUCCAAAGGUCUCCUUUGAAAGCACUGCCUCCUCCUCCCCCAGCACGGCUGCACUUCCCUUUGACCUGGAUGCCUCCCACCACCCUGCACACUGGGCAGAGUGGGCCGCCCCCCCCUCACUCUAUCUGAGAGGUUCUGUACCCCAUGUUCUGACCCUGUAGCAGUCCUCCUCCUCUAUGUGUCGGGCCAGUGCUGCCUCAGCCCCCGAACUCCAAACACACCCACAUCCCACUCUUCCUGUCGUCCGCUUUUCUUGUCUCCAUGGCCGGGGAUUGGAGGGUGAGAAGAAAGAUGUAUUGACUUUUCUCUCUUCUUUAGUUCGAAUAUCUCUGCACGAACACAUUUGACACUUUUUCCAAACCUCUGCUUCCUAAGGGGAUGGAGGAUGGAGGAGAGAACUGGGCUGUUUUAUCUUCAUGCCUGCAAAUGAAUUAUGCAUUUGGCAACCUUUCUAUUUUAACCGUCCCAUUUCAGUUGCCCCAUAGGGGUAAACUUUCUAGGAUUCUAAACCAGAAAAAUAGUUCAGGAGGAUAUUACUGAGAAAUACGUAACCUCCAUAUAAAUGAAAAUUAGUAUCUUGGUAUCCUGAGCUCAAGGGGUGAAAGCAGGCAUUGGGUCUGCCUUCACCUGUGUCCUGGCACUGACCCUCUGGAUUCAGAUCAUGAGAUGCUGGGCUGGGCUGUGGGGUCACUUGCAGCCACUUGUUGGAUUUUUCUUUAGUUCAUCUCAGGAGCCCCUUGGGCGUGGAUUCUCUGGUAUCUCCUGAUUGCCUGGAGUUUUCAUAAUUGGCUCGGAACUCAUCAUUCAGCAGAUGGUACUUAAGACUGGAGGAGUAGCCCCCUGUGAGCUUAAGAGACUCUAACAACGAGUGUGAAGGGGAUGUCCCCAAUAAACCAGUUAAAUAGGACUCAGAGGGGAAAGCUUCAUCUUCAUCAGCUUGCAUACUUGAUUUUUUAUUGUGGUAAAAUAUACAUAGCAUAAAACUUACGAGGAUGGCUAUUUGUAAGUGUACAGUUCGGUGGUGUAGUGCAUUUAUGUACAUUCACACCCUUGGGGAAUCGUCCCUACCCCCAUCUCCAGAGCAUACUGUGACAUCUGUCCCCAUAAGCACCGAGUCUCUGUCCAUAAUGCCCCAGUCUCGCGUUCAUGGCCCUUCUCCUUUCAGAAAGUGCUUUCUUUAAAGUUGGUAUAAAUGCCUGAAGUUGAAUCCUGUCUGAUGUAAUGUGGUGUAGUAACAGUGUACCCAUUCGAAUCUGACUCCCUCAUCCUCAGGAAGCAGGGAGCUGUGUUUAGUGACUGGUGGCAUCCACCUAGGGGCAUCUGUCCCAGGCCUGCUCACUCUCGCCUGUCCUCAAGGGACUUGGGUUCCCAAACCUUGCACUAAAAGUGAGCCUGGGCACAUGGGUUCUGGGCAUCGUGACCCUGCCCUCCUCGUCUGUGGGGCCAGGCCACCUCUGUAUGGGGUCACCAGCUGCUGCUUUCAAGAAGUUGGAAACUGAGACCUGGUUGCUGAGGCUCUGAGGUGAACACUCUGGAAGGAGGUUGUCUUAGGCUUGAGGCUUCCGUAACAAAUACCACAGACUGGGCGUCUGAAACAGUAGAAGAUGAUUUUCCCACAGUUCUGGAGGCUGUAAGGCCCAGAUCAAGGAGUCGGCAGGGUGGGCUUCUCCCGAGGCCUCCCUCCUGGCCUCUCGCCUUCGUCUCUUCACAUUGUUCCACAUGAAGCCCAUUCUGAGGGCCUCACUGGGCUGGAACUUCAGUGGGUGGGUUUUGGGAGGUCCAGCUUAGUGUACCAUCGUGGGUGCUGCAGAUCCUCAGGACCCCCGGUGUGUAAGAAAGGAACAUGGAGUCGACCAGGCGGAGUGCAGGGGGUGGCCUGUGCUGCGUGGGGCCCCAGGGAGGUGGGUGGACACAUUCCCAAGUUUUCAGGCAUGGUUCCAGAUGGUUUCCAUUUCCUUGAAGACACUCAAGAGGGCCUCCCUUCCUUGCACUGGAGGGGCCCUGCCAGGUUUGCUGCAUGGCCCUGCUCUGCCAGGGAUGGAGCCAAGGGGAGUGUGGAGAGUCGUCAACUCGGGCUGCAAACGUGGGCCUCAGCAGCAUUCUUCUGCACGGCCAGGCAUGCUCCAGGCCCACAGAGAGGCAAGUCAGCAAACCAGCAAUCUCCCCACACUUAUGUCUUGCAGUUCUAAUUCGUAUUUGUUGUGCUUUGGGAUCGUGAUAAUUGGGGUCAUUUGCUGAAGACUCCAAAAUAAUCCCCCCUACUUUAUGUUUUGGAAAUGUAGUCUUUCAGGCAAACUGUGGUGCUCUCCCCCGUGUUUGUUAGAAAGGUUGGGCUAAAUGUCACCCAGCCAGCAGCUUGCAAAGGAGCUCCGAGCAGUUGGUGGAAUCUCAGUGGGUAUUUCCCAACCAUCUAGAACAAACAGAGACUGUAUCCUCGCGUGUGCUAGGAACAGCUCAGCCCCAUCCCAUGGUUCCAGAUGGUUUCCAUUUCCCUGCGGAUGGGGUGGGGUCUCCUGUUUAGAGUCCCAGCUCAGAUGCCUCCCUGUACCUUCCCCCGCCUGGCUUGCGCCAGGGCCUCUGUCGCGCCUCUGUGGCAGCCUUAUGCUGCAAGCCUGUCUCAUCUUUUGAACUUGCCCUGGAAACGCUCUGUUAGAUUCACAGAACAAAAACAGCCACUGAAGAAUCGUAUUUGAAAUCCUACAAAGGAAUUACAUUUUGUUUUGCUUGAAAGAGUGCAUAGUAUUCUCCUUUGCAAGUAAGAAAACAGCAAGAGACAGAUGUCUUUAGGCAACUAUUUAAUGAAUAAAUGAGAGUGAUUGAAUGGGAGCAUUUAAAUUGGGCAUUUUCUGUGCAAUAUUAAUUACACUGGAUACAUAGUAAGUUCCUUUUUCAAAGAUAGUUCAAAGGCAAAUGUCAAUCUGGUUCUGCCCAGGUUACGUGUCUACGUACGUAAACAACUUCCAGAUGAACAGAGCAUCCGUUAAUAAGCUUUUACUAAUCUUGGCCACAGGCCCUAUUGAAUCAGCUGUGUUUGACCUCUACCACACUGGGCAUAAGAAAAUUCAUUUAACGGUGGUGUGACUAAAGCUGAUGUUGUAAAUGGGCUAUGUUGUACAGGCAUUUCACAUACACCCAGUUUUAAAGUGGGGCUUCUCCAGUGGGCCUCUAGGAUCUGGAGCUUAAAAUCUGGACCAUGUUUUCUUUUGGCUACAAAAUAAAUGGCUUCUUGAUGGAGCAGGCCUGUAGGGAGUCUGGGUCUCCUGGGAGUGCAGGACUGCUUUGGUGAUGGGCAUCACCCAGGCUCUGCGAAGCCUCUGAAUGUGACUUGUGAUGACCUACGUGGGUGAUAUAUGUACACAGCUGUGCAGGAGCUGCCAGCAGCCACGGGGAGUAUUCUUGAUCUGCUGUGUCUGUCUCUUGUUUUCAUGCUGGUAUGCUCUCAUCAGGCAAGAAUGUUGUCUUUUCUAAAAUCGUGUAUGGGCCAGAAGGUGAUGAUAGGAGAGAAGCCAUAUACAAGCAACACUGUCACUUGGUGGGUUCAGGGCUUCUGGUCAAGAAGACUAAAUGAUGUAAUGGAAACGGAUGACUUUGGGCCAUUUCAUUUUACCGCAUUGUACCUUGGUUUCAUCACUUGUGAAAUGUGGACCAAAUAGAUAAUAAGGUCAGAGUGAAGAUUUCUUUUAUUUUCUUUUUUUUUGAGACAGGGUCCCGUUCUGUCUCCCAGGCUGGAGUGCAGUGGUGCAAUCACAGCUCACUGUAGCCUUGAACUCCUGGGCUCAAGGGGUCCUCUUAUCUCAGUCUUCUGAGUAGCUGGGACUACAGGCACACAUCAUCAUUUCCCGUUGAUUGUUUUUAUUUUUUUGUAGGGAUGGGGUCUUGCUAUGUUGCCUAGGCUGGUUUCAAACUCCUGCUCUCAGGGGAUACUCCUGUCUCACCGUCCCAAAGUGCUGAAAUUGCAGGAGUGAGCCACUGCUCCUGGCACGAUUCCAUUAUUUAAUGUGUAUAAAUCCCCCUCCCAGUGCCUGACAGAUGGAUGGUGUUCAAUACAUGAUAACUAUCAUCAUCAUGGUCUGUUGAAUUUGGAUCUAUUUCUAUUUUUUGUCCUUCUCUAUUUCCCAUUUUCUAGUAUUCCAAGGGGUGGGCAUCUUCCCUGUAGGGACAGUUUUCCUGGCAAGGCUGGAGCCCCUACACUGGGAGUGAGUCAGGAACUGUGUUCUUGCCCCUGUGCCGGCUGCAGAGUUCUGGAUAAGAUAUUUGAAAUUCCCUGACAAUGGGGUGCUAUAUUAGGCUGUUCUCACACUGCUAGUAAAAACAUGCCUGAGACUGGUUUAUAAAGGAAAGGGGUUUAAUUGACUCACAGUUCUACAUGGCUGAGGAGGCCUCACAAUCAUGGUGAAAGGUGAAUGAGGAGCAAAGUCACGUUUUACAUGGCAGCAGGCCAGAGAGUUUGUAUAGGGAAACUCUUCUUUAUAAAACCAUCAGAUCUUGUAAGACUUAGGCACUACCACGAGGACAGCAUGGGAAAGAUCUAUCCCCUAUGAUUCAAUUACCUCUUACUGAGUCUCCCCCAUGACAUGUGGGAAUUAUGGAAGCUACAAUUCAAGAUGAGAUUUGGGUAGGGACCCAGCCAGACCAUAUCAGGUGCAGACAGGGUCCUCUCCAUGAUGUCAUCCGGUUCUAAAUGUCUAUUUGAGUUCUGCAGAGUAUUCAUAUUCCAUUUCAAAAAUGGUUUUCCUCAUGAUUGAGCAUUUACUUACUGUUGGAUAGAAAAUCAAAUGCCACCCAUCUUGGCCGGGAGUGAUAAGAACAGUCUAGAAAGUUCUGCUUGGGAAUUCCCCAAGUCCUGUGCUUCAGUUUUGCCUCAGGACUUGGUGCCUGGACAUUUGUGCCCUUUCUCAGGUAAGCCCCACCAGAUGGAGGGCAUCAGUUCCAGGAACAGGAGGAGCUUCCCCAGCUUAUGGGAGGGAAACUGAGCACGCUGUCUUCAUAGAGGUGGCGUUUGCAAUUGGGAAUAUUCUCUUUAAAAACUCAGAAAAUGUCUAGGUAAAAUAAGUAAGUGGUGUGAUUUUCCAGCAAGCUUUAAAAAAAAGCCAAAACAAAACAGUGCAUAUUCUUAUCCCCCAAUCUUAAUACCUCUGAAGACACAAAGCAUGAAGCUUUCAUUUUCAGAGUUUAAGGAAGAAAAAUUGCUCCAUGAUGGCUAUUACUGUAAAAGUUGAAGAGCUGGGCAUCCCAUUUGUACGUGUGGUGAGCUUUGAAGCUAAAAUGCAGGGGGAUAGAGAUGCUGUCCCCAAGGGAGUCCCGCAGGGUUGCUCCCAGAUACCAAGGCUUGGCUGGCAGCAUGCAAGUCUGAUUCGGUGGCCCUGAUCACUGUAGGUGUGUUCACCGGGGAGAGGAAACCGGGGAGGGAAUGCAGGGGCCAUGGGGUCCAAUCCUCGUGUUUCUGAACAGAACCUGUACUUUGCUAGACCAUAAACUCCCACUGCACGUUUGUCCCUGGGCUGCUUCAAAGUAGUCACCAUUCCCUGGGAUGCUCUCCCUGUGCCUCAGCUUGGAGUGGGUGGGGGCUGCAAACCCCUGGUUCUCGUGGAUCCUUUGUGUUUGGGGAGCAUCAGUCAGGAUUAUGGUCCUCUUGCCACCGACAUACAGAAAGGAGGCAUGAUGACCACACUGCGCAGCUACUUUGGCCCUGGCUGUGGAGACUCGUGCACCCUUUUCACCUCUCUCCAUCAGAGAAUGAAAUUAAGUAACAACCUAAGAUGCAGAGCGUCUGGUCUGGACUUAGGUCUUCAUUCACUGCUUCCAGCUGUGCUUUUUUAGGCCGGCUUCUGAGCGCCUCCAGUUUUUGGUUUGCUCGCUUGUGAAAGGAGAGUAAGAGAGCACUGCUGGCUUCCCUGGAUGGUGGUGAGAACAGAGAGGGGUCAUGGGCAUGCAGCGUGUCUCAAGCUGUUCUUGUCCUAGGAAUGCAGCUAGGAUGGGUGGGUCUAAGUUUCAACCCACGUAGGUCUGAAAGGUUCAGACCCACCUGGGGGACCCGAGGGUAGUUCCCUGGGGCUCUUUGGGCCUGAGGACCUGCAGAGCACCCUGAAAACAAACCUAACAAAGUAAAAAAGUGGGAUGCUUGAGAAACAUCUGGACACAUGAGUGGAGGAGGGGAGGCAGGGACUCUGAGUGUGGGCUUGCAGCGUCUCUCCUGGUGGUCCAGCCACUCCUCACUCUCACAGCAUACAAGCUGGGGAGGUCGCGGCAAAACUAACAGUGAAGAAUGGCCUCCCGAGACCUUGGUGGGGCGGCCUCCUCUGAGCUGGCUGAGGGCGGGGGGUUCCAGCAGGGCACAGUCUCGAAGGGCCCAGCAGGGUGGCAGCCUGUCAUGGAGCACAGCACCUGCCCAGAGUGGCUCCCACACCAAGCCUGGUGGGAGCUGGGCCUGCUGGGGACAGGGCCAGCUGCUCUGGAGUCAGGCAGAAGCAGCGUCCUUGGCGUGGAGGCCAGUGUCCUCCAGAGGAAGUAGAACCAGAGAUCUCACAGGCACGAGGGGAACAGAUGGGGUGAGGGGCCAGGGGAUGUGACUGCUGCAGCUUGCCCCAGCGGAGGCCAGGAAGGCAGAGGAGGCAGAUUGGGAGUCCCUGUGGGUACCCGAAGAACUGGUUUACAACUCUGUCCCCCUGGGACACCAAAGAAUUUUGGGGGAGAGUGGAAGCCCUGCAGGUUGAGGGGAGGGCUAGAGCAAGAGAAAGUAAAUGUCAUUCAUUUUUCUUCAUAGCCAUUCUCCUUGUAGAAUCUGCUUAGAAUAGCCUUGGGAAGCAUGCAUUAUGACAGUUACCUGUUAUUGAUAUCUAGUUCUCAAAACACUUUCCCCUUUUCAGAAACGUGUGAUUAUGCGUUCUUGUCACCCAUGGCACGUGCGUGCCUUCUUGAUCACUCACAGACAUCGAAAGGGCUUUUUCUUCACUCUCAGGGCUGGAAAGAGUGAAGGGCAGGCGUGUUGCCACAGCUGGUCCAUAGAGCAAUCUACUGGCAAAUGCUUAUGUGGUUUCAUUAGCUGGGAGUGGGGAGGAUGUUAGGAGGGACAGGACUCUUCUCUGUCUUAAAGGACUUGCAAUCUGGUUGGGAAAAUAAACCCUACACAGGCAAAAAACAAUUAAUAUUUGCCUUGAUAUCCAGAGCUGGCUGGCUCCAUGGACCCUAGCACGCUUUUCAGAGAAAGGCGGUGCUGCCGUCGCAUAUCUCCCCCGGUAAGAGAGAGCGAUGUGUUUGCCAUCACCCUGAGCACAGAAGGCACAGUUUCCCUGGAAUUCUAAUAGCACUGCAAUGAGGCUUAAUAUAUCCAUUUUUUAAAAAUGGUCAUGCGUCUGUUUGAAAACAAACCUGAGAGUUAGCUGUAUAUAAAUGCAUCAUCUAUUUCUCGUGCCCACACUUGCUUUAUUGAUAGAUUUCCUUUUUCUGCCCCCUUCUUUUUGGUGCAUGUUUAACACUCACGUUAUUGCAAAGCAGCCUGGGAUGAGCCACUUAGGACCAUCUCGGCUCCCAUUACACUUAUGUCUCUUAGUUAAGGAUGCUAAUUCUCCUUGCAGCUCCUCAUCUGCCUCUGUACUCCGCUGGAUUCUUAAGGCGAUGCUGAACAGUUCUCUCUCCGCAGCCAUCUCCCACCCCUCAUGGUGGCAGCGGGGACUUUCCUUGCGCCACGCCAGUCCCUCAAACCUGCCCCCCUCUCUGUCCUCCCAUCCAUUCAGCUUCUAUUCAACGGGGACUUCUCAUGGGCUAAAGUCCAGAUUCCCCCCUUGAACUGCUCGCCAAGACUUCGCUUCAAGCCAUUCAUGCUGGGUGCUCUGGGAGCCUGAUGCUUUGGAGAAUGAACGAGGAAAGGAACCAAGCAGGCGUGCUUUGCUGUGUUAUAGUUGGGUCACUUGACAGACAGUGCCGUGUGUGAGACAGGAGGGCAUGUGGACAAGCUGGGACAUCAUCACAGCCUCCCUCCCAUGGCCUGGUGUCCCUUCAUCCCACAGAGGCUAGAGCCCCCACUCGCAAAGGCCUGGCCCCGCACACGUGGUGAAGAGGCCGUGGGUAGUUUCCUCUGGAAGCAAUUUGUUCUCUUACUGCUGCUGGGGUUUCCUCCCUCUGAAAGUUCUGCUGAUUUUUCACUGCACCACAAACCCCAACGCAGCGCAUGCCAGGUCCCUGGCUUCCUUGCUGUGAGUGCCGCAGCCUCCUGCAUGCCCCCAGGCCGUGGCUGCAAAAAGGAAAAAGGAAAAAAAGAUUCGUGUUUGUUACAGUAGAACCCAAAGCUUGACAGUCGGAUGCCAUCCCCAUAAUUGAAGUAUUUAUGUGUCUAAACAUUUCACUGUCGUUGGGAAGUAAACACACGGUGCGUAUGGGUGAGUCUGUCACACCCAGGCAGCCGCCUGCUCAGGCAGGCCCACACCUGUGACCUUGUGGCUUUUCUUGGAACACUGGAAGGAUUGUCUCUCCUUGAGUUCCCAUUAAUUUAAAUCAAAACUAAAGUUCACGGUGUCUCUCUUCUGCUGGUGACAUUUUCCACUUCACACGUUGUCAACCUCAUUUAACAUGUUGCUACUCGGCCGAAGUCACCUCUGCAGGAAACACCCAAACAGAAGCAGCUUUCCUCCUGCCCUUCAGACUCCCCGCUGCUGCUGUGAUGUCUGGGGGUGUAUUUAAAACUUAGAGACUGUAGGCUGGGUGGAGGGCUGAGAAAGGUGGGCCACUUGAGGCCAGGAGUUUGAGAACAGCCUGGCCAACAUGACGAAACCUACAAAAAUUAGCCAGGCUGGUGGUGCACACCUGUAAUGCCAGCUACUCAGGAGGCUGAAGCACUAGAAUUAUUGCUUGAGCCCGGGAGGCAGAGGUUACAGUGAGCCAAGAUGGUGCCACUGCACUCCAGCCUAGAUGACAAAAAUAAAAUAAAAUCAAACUCAGAUUUCUGGCUUCUCUGUAAAGAUGGACCUGCCCGCCAGGCCUGCAUUUCCCCGUGGCCUUCACUGGGCCUGCACUCCCCACGUGCCACCCUCCUCGCAGCCAGAAAGAUGUCUUUUCAGCAUCCCGGGGCAGAACAGGCAGCCCCUCUAGAAGACUGAGAGGAGACCUGCCUCUGAGUGGAGCCAGGCUGCAGUUAGGACUGGAAGCGGGGAGAAAUGGCAGCUCUGGAAUCAGACAGCCUGGGUUUCAGUGGCAGCUCUACUUGUCUGAUCUUGGGAAAAAUUCCUACCUUCUCUGAGCCUUGGUAUGCUCAUUUGCAAGAUGAGAAAAAUGAUAGCUUAUAUGAUGGUUGUGUAAAUGUUGUGAAGGCAGGUCUGUGAACAAGGCCCUGACAGUGUUGGUGAGAAGUGAAUAGAUGGGAGCCGUUGCCUAUGAUGGCUUCCCUGGUGUGAGUCAUGGCAGACCCACAACAGUGCACUCGGAAGGCAGACUGCUUUCCUUGAAUUCAGUGAAGAUGCCUGACCAGACAGGAAAGCAAGACCCAAGGAGUACUUCCAAAAACUGUCUUUUUACAGUAGGACAGAAAUGCAUUAAGGCACAUGUAUUUAUCUGCUAGGUCAGUUGUCAUGAAGAACCACAGACUGGGUGGUUUAAAUCACAGCAGUUUGCUGCCCAGUUCUGGAGGCUGACGUCCAGGAUCAAGUUCCCGGCAGGGUUGCUCCCUGGCGAGGCUGUGAGGCGGAAUCUGGUCCAGGCCUCUCCUCUGGCUUCUGGUGGCAGCUUUGGGUGUCCUUGGCUUGUGGCCCAUUGCCCUCAUCUCGGCUUCAUCUGCACUCGGCGUUCUCCCUGUGGGGGCUUGUGUCCAGAGUUCCCAUUUCGGUAAGGAAACCAAGUUAUAUUGGAAUAAGGUCCUUUAAGGACCUCACCUUAACCAUGUUCAUUAUAAUGAUCAUAGUUAAUUGAUUAUAUCUGCAAUGACUGUAUUUCCAUAUAAGGGCAUACUCUGAGGUGCUGGGGGUUAGGACUUCAACAUGGGAAUUUUGGGAGAUACAAUGAAGCCCAUAAUAGAAAUGCUGUGACUAAAACUGUAGGAUGCAUCUCUCCUUUUUCCCCUAACAAAUGGAGGCUUUGUCACCUGGUUUUCUGUCUUCUCUCUGUCCUGGUUCUGCUGUCUUCCAAAUGGAGGCUUUGUCACCUGGUUUUCUGUCUUCUCUCUGUCCUGGUUCUGCUGUCUUCCUGGGUGCCUUCAGCAUGUGCUUGAUGGCCUGGCCUCUUGGUGCCCUGACUGUGAUCUUCCCAGUGGCCGCUUCUCCACUUCGUCAUGCAUCCUCCACCUCGCCCCUAUCAACUUGAUGCAGUGUCAUUGACAAGAUCAUAAAUAUGCAUGUGCCUCUCUCUAUAUAUAAUUUUUUACCUUUCCAGCUUGCCCGAUCAGCUACUUCCACUAAAACCAUCUCUGACCCUCAGAACCCCCUGUUCAUCCAUUCUUUAACUUUUUUCUUAUCCAUUGGCUUCUCUUCUUAUUUCUCUCCAUAUCUACCUUAGAUUCCUUGGUUCCUCAAAAUUUAGCUCUUAUCACAUCACCUCCCUGUCCCUCUGCAAAUUUGUCUGUCAGAACCCCAACUCUAGAUGAACUCAUCAAUACAUUUUCUCUGUGCCUGUACCCCGGCAUUCAGGAGGUCAGGGAAAAGCACACAAUAGGGCAGAUAAGAAUCCUGAUAAAUACACGCACACCAGCCUCGAAUGGGGUCUCCACCCUGCGGAGCAAUCCUGCUGUAUUUCCCUGGCCAGGAAGUUAUCCGGCACUCCUUAAUGACUAUUUUGAACUUUCUUUACCAUUCUGGAAAUUCUGAAGCCUCAUUAAUAUCUGUCUUUUCAGAAGAGAACCAUGAUUCUUUUCUGGGAAAAUUAAAGCAUUUAGAACUAGAACUCUGCAAUGUCCUGCUCCCAAAUCAAUACACCUGACCGAAAACCUCAUCCACUCCUCCGAGCCUCAUUCCUCAUAGAGGAGGUCCUAAGUGCAAAGUCCUUGACAGAGGCUCAUCUUUCUAUCUGUAUUCUGGAUUGCAUCUCCUCCCACUGCUGAGAGAUGUCUCAGUGCUGAUUAUUCUUUCCUGCUGCAAAUUCCCCCUCCCAGUUCAUUCCUGUCAUCAUUUCCAUAUGGUUGAGCUUUUAGCACGCUUAUCGAAGAAAGGAAUUUCUCAUAAUCUCACAUUUUUUUUGAGUUACGACCUAAUCUCUCUUUUCUUCUACACCAAAUUCCUGGAAAGAAGUGUAUAUAAUAUAGGUGAGUAUUUCUUUUUAGCUACCAAGACAUGUAAUUUAUUCUACUCACAUGUAAGGUUUACAUUUUCAUAGCUGAGUUUUUAAAGCUCGUGGUAAAAUACACACAACAAAAAAUUUAUCAUCAUGACUAUUUUUAAGUAAACAGUUCAGCAGUAUUAAGUGUAUUGACAUUUUUGUGCAACUGAUCUGCUGAAUUCUUUCCAUCUUGCAGAACUCAAACUCUAGACCCAUGAAGCAAAAAGUUUCCAUUCCCCCUUUCUCCAGCUCCUGGCAACCACCAUUCCGCUCUCUCUUUCUGAUUUGGCUACUCUAGAUAUUUCAUGUAGAUGGAAUUGUAUAGUAUUUGUCUUUUUGUGAUCGGCUUAUUUCAUUUAAUGGCCUAAUGGUUCUUUUCUGGGAAAAUUAAAGCAUUUAGAACUAGAACGCUUCAAUGUCCUGCUCCCAAAUCAAUUCACCUGACCGAAUACCUCUUCUGCUCCUCCGAGCCUCAUUCCCUCUCUUUGCACUUAGAGGAGGUGUUUGUCCUCUUGGCAGAGGCCCAUAUUUCUAUCUGUACUCUGGAUUGUGUCUCCUCUCACUUCUGAGAAAUGUCUCACUAUUGAUUUUUCUUUCCUGCUCCAAAUUAUCCCAUUAGAAUGGCCACUAAUGGAAAAAAAGAGAAAUACAAAAUAAUAACUGUUAGGAAAGAUGUGGAGAAAUUAGAAUCUUUAGGUACUUUUUGUAGGCAUUUACAAACAUUAGGUACUGUUUGUAGGAAUGCCCUUUCUCUGUUGAGUGUAACUAGCUCAUCCAUGUUGUACCAUGUGUCAGAAUUUUCUUUUGGGGGCUAAAUAAUAUUCCAUAGUAGUAUAUAUGUAUCUACACUACAUUUCUAUGUUUUGUUUAUCCAUUCAUUCAUCAGUGAUGGACACUUGGGGUGCGUCCACCUUUUUGCUAUUGAGAAUAAUGCUGCUGUGAACAUGGAUGGAGACAUAUCUCUUCAAGGCCGUGCUUUCACAUCAUUUGGGUAUACACCCGGAAGUGGGAUUACUGGAUUAUAUGGUAAUUCUAUUUUAAAUCUUUUGAGGAAGUUCCAUACUUACCUUUUUCAUAGUAGCUGUACCAUUUUACAUUCCUACAAACAGUACUUAAAGAUUCUAAUUUCUCUACAUCUGUGCUAACAGUUAUUAUUUUGUAUUUCGCUUUUUUUCCAGGAGUGGCCAUUCUCAUGGGAUAAAGUGGUCUCUCACUGUGGUUUUGAUUUGCAGUUCCCUGACGAUUAGUGGUGCUGAGCGUCUUUUCAUGUACUCAUUAGCUGUUUGUAUACCUUCUUUGCAGAAGUGUCUAUUCUUUGUCCAUGUUUUAAUUGCGUCUUUUGCCCUUUUUUUGUUGAGUAUAACUAGCUCAAUUUUUUUCAUCAUUUCCUCCUUGCUCCUCAGUGCAUUCCAUUUUGGAUACUGCUAAUAUCAGCAAAAUAGCUCUCUGGAAGGCCACUAGGAAUCCGCAUGCCAUCAUGUGUGAUGGGCAUUUUCAGCCUUCAUUUCGUACUCUCAACCUUUGACGUGGCUGAUCUCUCCCUUCUUCCCACUGGCUUCCCUGAUGGCAGCUGACAUUCCCCCAUGACCCUGCCUUCUUUUCAGGCUACUCCUCCGGCUCGUCCUCUUCAGCAGGCUCCUCCAUCCUGUGCUCCUUCACAAUUGGCUUUCAGGUCUCCUUCACACUCUCUCUUGCCCGGCGAUCUCACAUUUGCUUGUGGCUGGUGCCAGCUACAAGCGCCAUUUACAUUCCAAUCAUCCCAAAAUUUAAAUUUCUAGAUCAGCUUGCUUUUCUGAAUUCCAGAUGCAAAUGAUCUAAUUGUCCAUUAACAUUCCCACUUGCACUUCUUAGGGGCACUCUGCUAAUCCUCUCUCUCUGCGGCUGCUUGUUGCUUCCUGUCGUGGACUGUAGUUUUCUUCCCCAGCACUUGCCAGUUUACAGCCAGUCACUCCGGGUGGCCAGUGUCUUUCUCCUUCCUCGCCUGUAACCUCACAGGACUGCAGGAGCCUUGCUUGUUUGCCUCACCACUGCAUCCCAAGGAUGUAGCAGAGUGCCUGACACAUGGCAACCAAGCACAGAGAUCCUUGAGAGAUGAAGAAAAAACAAGAUGAGUCCUCUAACAGCUCAGCUUACUGUUUUGAGGACAUUUUCAGGUGUAGCAUGGGGAGGAGAAGCUCAGAAGACUCUCUGAGUUAAGGAGAUUGAACAAAGCAUCAAGGAGGACCAAAGCAUUUGGAGUAUAGAGUACCAGAGUAUAUAAAGCUCUAAGUGAGAGAACCCUGAAGAAUUAUAGAAGGUUCCCCUUAACUAUUCAACAGAGUACAUACAGACCAACGCAGAUAUGCGAGGAAACUACUUGGAGCUAGGAAAAGAACCAUUUGAAAAGAUUAGAGGAAAUAGUACUGAAUGCUCAUACAGGACUGGGGACUCUGACUGCUUCAAUCAACAAUGCUAGAAAACUCAACCCGUUGGGUGUUGGGUAGAGUACUUGGUAAGGUCUUACCUCUGUUGCAAGGAAUGACUGGCCCUAGACAUAGCACUGGUCUAGACAUGCCUACCAAAUCAUAGUUGCAAGACUGAAAAAAAAUCAAGUUGUUUGUAAGAAAUUUAACAGCAUCACAGAACAAAAUUCAAGAAUAUUUAGAGGAAUACAAAAAUGUCCCACACUGAAAAAGACAAACUUUUCAAUGUCAGACAGCUAAUCAAAGAUUACCAGACACACAAAGAAGCAGGAAACUUCUCCUAUAUGAGUCACAUGGGAGAAUACACAUAUAAUUAAAACUGACCCAGAUGUUAGAAUUCGCAGAAAAAUUUAUUAUAAAGUUAUAACAUUCCAUGUUUUCAAAAAGUUAAGUAGAGACAGGGAAGAUGUAGAAAGAAACUCAAAUUGAAUUUUUAUAAAGAUGGAAACAAUAAUGUCUUCAGUGAAAGCACAUAGGAUGGGAUUAGCAAUGGUUUAGACACUGCAGAAGUACAUAUUAAUGUGCUUGACGACAUAAUAACUUUAGAAAGUAAAACACAAGGAAGAUAUUAAGAAAAGAGCAUCAGUGGACUAUGAGUAAACUUCAAGUGAUGUAAUAGAUAUAUAACUGUAGGCCUUAAAGGCGUAGGAGAACAGAAAAAAUAGUUAAAGGAAUAAUGAUCAAUCAUGAUGAAAACUAUAAACAUGCAGAUUCAAAAAUUAUCAACCCCAAGCAAAAAGUGAAGAAAACUACACCAAAGCCAUCCAGAAUCUACAAGGAAAUCAAAUAAGCAAGAAAAAAGCAGUUCUGUCAAAAAGUGGGCUAAGGACAAUGAAUACACAAUUCUCAAGAGAAGAUACACAAAUGGCCAAGAAACAUGAAAAAAUGCUCAACAUAGUUACCAGGGCAAGGCAAAUCCAAACCACCCUGUGAUACCACCUUACCCACAAGAAUGGCCAGAAUUAAAAAAUAAAAGAUGUUUUUUUUUGUGGUGAAAAGGGAACACUUUUACACUGUUGGUGGGUUGUAAACUAGUACAACCACUAUGGAAAACAGUGUGGAGAUUCCCUAAAGAACUAAAAGUAGAUCUACCAUUUGAUCCCGCAAUCGCACUACUGGGUAUCUACCCAGAGGAAAAGAAGUUAUUAUAUGAAAAAGAUACACUUUCAGAUGCAUAUUUAUAGCAGCACAAUUUGCAUUUGCAGAAAUAUGGAGCCAGCCGAAAUGCUCAUCAAUCAAUGAGUUGAUAAAGAAAAUGCGGUGUAUAUAUAUGUAUAUAUAUAUUAAAAAGUUAUAACAUUCCAUGUUUUCAAAAAGUUUAGUAGAGACAGGGAAGAUGUAGAAAGAAACUCAGGAAUGAGAAACAUCAUAUGUUCUCACUUACAAGUGGGAGCUAAGGUAUGAAGACACAAAGGCAUAAGAAUGGUACAAAGGACUUUGGAGACUCAGGGGAAAGAGUGGAGGUGGGUGGGGGAUAAAAGACUUCACAUCAGGUAGAAUGUUUACUGCUUGGAUCACAGGUGCACCAAUAUCUCAGAAAUCAGCACUAACGGGCUUAUCCAUGUAACCAAACAUGAACUGUUCCCCAAAAACCUAUUGAAAUAAAAAAAUAAGUAAAAAUUGCUUAAAUGCAAUGAUAAAAAUAAAACCUUAGAAGCAGCCAGAAAAAAAAAACAUAUUUACAGAACAAAGCUAUGACAGGACCAGAUUUCUCAUUGCAAACAAUACCAAUGACAAAACAGUGGAGCAGCACCUUUAAAGGACUAAAAGAAAGAAAAAAAAGCCCUGAUAAUUUGGAAGUCUAUGCCAGCAGAAAGAGCUUUCAAAAACUAAGGUGAAGCUACUCAGGAGGCUGAGGCAGGAGAAUUGCCUGAACCCAGGAGGCGGAGGUUGCAGUGAGCCGAGAUUGUACCAUUGUACUCCAGCCUGGGUAACAAGAGUGAAACUCCAUCUCAAAAAAAAAAAAAAAAAAAAAAAACAGUUGAUAUAAAAAUAUUUUCAGACAUCAGCACCUGAAAGAAUUUACCACCUGCAAACCCAUCUUACAAGAAAUUUAAAGGAAGAGCUUUAAGGUAGAAGGAAAAUGAUACCAGAUGGUAUCAUUGAAGAGCACAGAGAAUGGUAGAAGCAUGGAUAGUUAUAUAAGAAUUUUUAUUAGUGGUAUCUCUUUAAAAGAUACUUAACAGUUUAAACACAAAUCAGCAUUGUGGGGUUUACAACAUAAAAAAGUAAAAUGUAUUAAAACAAUAGCAUAAACUCAGGGAAGGGGCCAGGCAUGGUGGCUCACCCAGGACUUUGGGAGGCCAAGGUGGGAAGAUCAUAAGGUCAGGAGAUCGAGACCAUCCUGGUCAACAUGGUGAAAUCCCAUCUCUACUUUAAAAAAAAAAAAAAAAAGCUGGGUACGGUUGUGCACACCUGUAGUCCUAGCUACUUGGGAGGCUGAGCCAGGAGAAUUGCUUGAACCCAGGAGGCAGAGGUUGCAGUAAGCUGAAAUCAAGCCACUGCACUGCAGCCUGGUGACAGAGAGAGAUUUUUGUCUCAAAAAAAACAAAAAACAAAAAACAAAAAAACAGGAUCAGGGAGGGAGAGAAAUAUACAACUUGUAAGUUUUUUAUAUUAUACACGCAAUGGUAUAAUAUUAGUUGAAAGUAGAUGGUGAUAAAUUAAAGAUGUUUACUAUAAAUCCUGAAGCAACCACUAAAGUAAUACCACAAAGAGUUAAAGCUAAAGAGCUAACAAAAGGAGAUAAAUGUAAUUAUUUAAAAAAUUCGAUUAAUUCAAAAGAAGGCAGAAAAGGAGGGAAAGGACAAUAACGAACAGAUGUAACAAGAAAUAAAUGGAAAAAUGAUCACUUAAAACCUAGUUAUAUCAAUAAUCACAUUGAUUACAAAUAGUUUAAAUACCUCAAUUAAGAGGCAGAGAUUGUCAAAUUGGCUAAAAAAGCAAGGCCCAGUUAUAGGUUGUCUACAAGAAACACACUUAAAACUUAAAGGCCCAAAUGGAUUAAAUACGUAAGUAUGCAAAAAGAUAUCCCAUGCUAAGAUUGGUCAAAAGAAAGCUGCAGGUCAGGAGUUUGAAACCAGCCUGGCCAACAUGGUGAAACCCCGUGUCUACUAAAAAAUACAAAAACUAGCCUGGCUUGGUGGCAUGCACCUGUAAUCCCAACUACUCAGGAGUCUGAGGCAGGAGAAUCACUUGAACCUGGGAGGCAGAGGUUACAGUGAGCUAAGAUCGUGCCACUGCACUGCGGCCUGGGCAACAGAGCAAGACAAUGUGUCUGAAAAAGAAAAAGACAUAACUAAAGGAACUGCAAGAAGAAAUUAUAGUAAAAACUUUUAGUGGCCAUUUCUCAGAGUUAAUAUAACAAGUUCACAGAAAAUCAAUGAAGAUACAGCAGACAUGAACAGCACUGUCACUCAACAUGGCCUGGGUAACAUUCACAGAACACACUCUACUACAGCGUUACGUCCAACAUCAUUAGUCACUAAAGAAAUGAAAUUAGUACCACAAUGUGAAGUUACUACACACCUGUCAUUGAGGCUAAAAUUAGAAAGAUUGAUUAUGCCAAGUAUUGGUGAGGAUAGAAAUUUUAUACACUGCCAUUGGGAAUGUAAAGUGAUUCAACUUUGGAAAACACUUGGGCAGUUUCUUCAGAAGAUAAAAAUCAACCAUUUUCAGCCAUUCUGCUUCUGGGUGUAUAUCCAACAGAAAUGAAAGCAUCUGUUUUUACGAAAACUUGUGCACGAACAUUAGCAGCUUUAUUAGUAGCAGCCAAAAGUGGAAACAAUCAAAUGCCCUUCAGGCGAUGGAUGGAUAAGCACAUUGUGGUAUAUUCAUACCAUGGAAUACUUUUUCAACAGGAAAGUCAGUGCACUGUUGAUACAUGCAGUGUAGACGAAUCUCAAAAUAAUUAUGCUAAGUGAAAGAUACCAGACAAAAAGAAUGCAUAUUCUGUGAUGUCAUGGUCUAAAAUUCUAGAAUGUAUUGUUAGGAAAAGCAGAUCAGUGGGUACAUGGGAUAGAGUGAGAGGAGGGCAGAAAGGGAACGAUUACAAACGAACGUGAGGAAACUGUGGGGGUUGUGGGGGUGUUCACUAGCUUGAUUGUGCUGAUGGCUCCGUGGGUGUAUACACAUCACAACUUAUCAAGUUGUCUUUUUACUUUAUUUUUAGAUGGAGUUUCGCUCUGUCACCUAGGGUGGAGUGCCGUCGUGAGAUCUCAGCUCACUGCAACCUCCCCCUCCUGGACUCGGGCAAUUCUCCGGCCUCAGCCUCCCGAGUAGCUGGGAUUCAGGCACAUGCCACCACGCCCAGCUAAUUUUUGUGUUUUUAGUAGAGACAGGGAUUCACCAUGUUGGCCAGACUGGUCUUGAACUCCUGAUCUCAGGUGAUCCAUCUCUAUUGGCCUCCCAAAGUGCUGGGAUUGCCGGCAUGAACUACUAUGCCUGGCCAAGUUGUCCAUGUUAAAUAUGUACAAAACUUGUCAAGUAUAUCCAAAGAAAACUGCUGAAAAAUAGGAAUUUUACAAGAAUGAAAAAAUAGGAAAUUAUUGUUUUAUGAUCUGUACCCAAGCUAACCAAGUCUCCAAAUUGAAAGAAUCACCUUCAGUCAAAUUUCAGACUCAGUAGUCUGAGUCUGACUACUGAUUUUGCUCUUUCCUCCCUGAAGACACUACCAUGGCUCUGUGGAGUCAGUGCUCUCCCCUUCAUGCCACUAGCAGUAAACUCACUUUGUCUGAUCAACAGGUUGCUUUGAUAGUAUUUUGGGGAACUGGCAUUUGAUAAUACUUCCCUUCCAUACAAUAUGACACAGAUAUUAAAAAGAAGGGGUUCUACACCAGUUGGUAUAAAGAAAUUCCAGGAUAUCAUGUUAAGUGAGAAAAGCCAAAUGCAGAGGAAAGUUUUCUAUUUUUGUAAAGCAUUGAUUUAAAUGAAAGCAUCUUAGAUGAAUAUAUAUGCAUGUGUAUAAAGGCAUCGCCCAUGAGAUAGCUUUGCAUAGAAUCAUGCCAGUUAAGAAACGUUGAUCAUCUGGGGGAAAUGACAUAUAUUGGAGGUUAGGAAGGUGAGAGUAAUUAAAAAAAACCAAUCGAACAAAAUCACGUAUUCAAAGAAAAAAAAGUGUCCAUAAUCCAGCAGCAUUUGUAAUAUGCACCUUUUCAAUGUGUUGAGGUAGCUUCAAACUGUUAAUGGAAAUAAUGUCAAGUUUCUUUGAAUUUUCCUGAAUUAACAAACACACAGUAAAAAGUAUUAUUUUAUUACCUCUCUGUUACUUUUAUCUCUAAUCUUACAGGUCUAACCUCAUUAAUUAUAAUAAUGCUAGUGUAGAAAAUAGUAAAUUUUGGAAUAAUAAGAUCUUAAGGAUUUUUUUCCCUGCAUACAGCCAUAAUGUUUGCUUUAUCAUUUGUUUUACAAAUCUCAUUAAAACUUUACUGCUUGAUCAAUGUUUCAUGAAUUUUUAAAGACAUAAAUCCUCUACCAUAUUUUUUUUUAAAAUAAAACUCUUCAGUGUUCAUGUUUUCACUUCUACAAAACUAGCCUAAUUCCAUACAAAUUGCAAAGACCUUGGCACUGCCUUUGUCUCCAGUGAAAAAUGAGCUCCAUUUGACGGCUGACCUUCCAAACAACUGUAGCUUCCUCAGAAAUAUAUAGGAUCUAUCGGCCCACAGCUGUUACCUUAUAAGAAUCAUUACUUGAGUGCUCAAGGGAAAACUAGUUCCACGG